GGUUAAGUGACUAAGCGUAUACGGUGGAUGCCUAGGCAGUUAGAGGCGAUGAAGGACGUGUAAGUCUGCGAAAAGCUGUGGGGAGCCGACAAAAUGCUUUGAACCACAGAUGUCCGAAUGGGGGAACCCAGUGCAUUUAUGCAUUAUCUGCAACUGAAUACAUAGGUUGUAGAGGCAAACGAGGGGAACUGAAACAUCUAAGUACCCUUAGGAAUAGAAAUCAAUUGAGAUUUCCUUAGUAGCGGCGAGCGAACGGGAAACAGCCCUUAAGCAAUUUAUAAGUGAGUGGAACAAGCUGGGAAGCUUGGCGAUACCGGGUGAUAGCCCCGUACACGAACACGAAUUUAUUGUGAAAACGAGUAGGUCGGGACACGUGUUAUCUUGACUGAAUAUGGGGGGACCAUCCUCCAAGGCUAAAUACUCCUAACUGACCGAUAGUGAACCAGUACCGUGAGGGAAAGGCGAAAAGAACCCCUGUGAGGGGAGUGAAAUAGAACCUGAAACCGUAUACGUACAAGCAGUGGGAGCCUCAUUCGUGGGGUGACUGCGUACCUUUUGUAUAAUGGGUCAGCGACUUAUAUUUUGUAGCAAGGUUAACCGAAUAGGGGAGCCGUAGCGAAAGCGAGUGUUAACUGCGCGUUUAGUUGCAAGGUAUAGACCCGAAACCCGGUGAUCUAGCCAUGGGCAGGUUGAAGGUGCAGUAACAUGCACUGGAGGACCGAACCCACUAACGUUGAAAAGUUAGGGGAUGACCUGUGGCUGGGGGUGAAAGGCCAAUCAAACCGGGAGAUAGCUGGUUCUCCCCGAAAGCUAUUUAGGUAGCGCCUCGGACGAAUACCACAGGGGGUAGAGCACUGUUUGGGCUAGGGGGUCAUCCCGACUUACCAACCCCAUGCAAACUCCGAAUACCUGUGAGUACUAUCCGGGAGACACACGGCGGGUGCUAACGUCCGUCGUGAAGAGGGAAACAACCCAGACCGCCAGCUAAGGUCCCAAAGUCAUAGUUAAGUGGGAAACGAAGUGGGAAGGCUAAGACAGCUAGGAGGUUGGCUUAGAAGCAGCCACCCUUUAAAGAAAGCGUAAUAGCUCACUAGUCGAGUCGGCCUGCGCGGAAGAUGUAACGGGGCUAAACUAUGCACCGAAGCUGCGGAUACGUGUUUACACGUAUGGUAGGGGAGCGUUGUGUAAGUGGAUGAAGGUGGAUCGAGAGGUCUGCUGGACAUAUCACAAGUGCGAAUGCUGACAUGAGUAACGAUAAUGGGGGUGAAAAACCCCCACGCCGGAAGACCAAGGUUUCCUGUCCCAUGCUAAUCAGGGCAGGGUAAGUCGGCCCCUAAGGCGAGGCAGAAAUGCGUAGUCGAUGGGAAACAGAUUAAUAUUUCUGUACUUAUAUAAUCAGUGAAGGGGGGACGGAGAAGGCUAUACAAGCAUGGCGUUGGUAGUCCAUGUGAAAGUGUGUAGGGAGAGAGCUUAGGUAAAUCCGGGCUCUUAUAUUCUGAGACACGAGACGAGACUCUACGGAGUUGAAGUUGUAAAUGCCCUGCUUCCAGGAAAAGCCUCUAAACUUAUGAUUAUGUGAACCGUACCCCAAACCGACACAGGUGGUCAGGUAGAGAAUACUAAGGCGCUUGAGAGAACUCGGGUGAAGGAACUCGGCAAAAUCGUACCGUAACUUCGGGAGAAGGUACGCCCCUGUUCGUGAUUGGACUUGCUUCAUGAGCGAAUGGGGGCCGCAGUGAAAUGGUGGCUGGGACUGUUUAUUAAAAACACAGCACUGUGCUAAAUCGAAAGAUGACGUAUACGGUGUGACACCUGCCCGGUGCCGGAAGGUUAAUUGAUGGGGUUAGCGUAAGCGAAGCUCUUGAUCGAAGCCCCGGUAAACGGCGGCCGUAACUAUAACGGUCCUAAGGUAGCGAAAUUCCUUGUCGGGUAAGUUCCGACCUGCACGAAUGGUGUAACCAUGGCCACGCUGUCUCCACCCGAGACUCAGUGAAAUUGAAAUUGCUGUGAAGAUGCAGUGUACCCGCGGCUAGACGGAAAGACCCCGUGAACCUUUACUACAGCUUGGCACUGAACAUUGACCCUACAUGUGUAGGAUAGGUGGGAGACUUUGAAGCUUCGUCGCUAGAUGGAGUGGAGUCAACCUUGAAAUACCACCCUUGUACGUUUGAUGUUCUAACAUUGGUCCCUUAUCGGGAUUGUGGACAGUGUCUGGUGGGUAGUUUGACUGGGGCGGUCUCCUCCCAAAGAGUAACGGAGGAGCACGAAGGUUGGCUAAUCAUGGUCGGACAUCAUGAGGUUAGUGCAAUGGCAUAAGCCAGCUUAACUGCGAGACAGACACGUCGAGCAGGUACGAAAGUAGGUCAUAGUGAUCCGGUGGUUCUGAAUGGAAGGGCCAUCGCUCAACGGAUAAAAGGUACUCCGGGGAUAACAGGCUGAUACCGCCCAAGAGUUCAUAUCGACGGCGGUGUUUGGCACCUCGAUGUCGGCUCAUCACAUCCUGGGGCUGAAGUCGGUCCCAAGGGUAUGGCUGUUCGCCAUUUAAAGUGGUACGCGAGCUGGGUUUAGAACGUCGUGAGACAGUUCGGUCCCUAUCUGCCGUGGGCGCUGGAUGAUUGAGAGGGGCUGCUCCUAGUACGAGAGGACCGGAGUGGACGAACCGCUGGUGUUCGGGUUGUCAUGCCAAUGGCAUUGCCCGGUAGCUACGUUCGGAAUUGAUAACCGCUGAAAGCAUCUAAGCGGGAAGCAAGCCUCGAGAUGAGUCAUCCCUGACAGUUUAACUGUCCAGAAGGGUUGUUGAAGACUACAACGUUGAUAGGCAGGGUGUGGAAGCACAGUAAUGUGUUAAGCUAACCUGUACUAAUUGCCCGUGAGACUUAACCAU
Molecule: ribosomal RNA, 2884 nt
Filed under: Alteromonadaceae bacterium BrNp21-10
Lineage: Bacteria; Pseudomonadati; Pseudomonadota; Gammaproteobacteria; Alteromonadales; Alteromonadaceae
Description: 23S ribosomal RNA
Rfam family: Bacterial large subunit ribosomal RNA
Source: RNAcentral